This 1017-nucleotide ribosomal RNA is filed under the name Triticum aestivum (bread wheat). RNAcentral's name for it is "partial small subunit ribosomal RNA". Lineage: Eukaryota; Viridiplantae; Streptophyta; Magnoliopsida; Poales; Poaceae. The record is from RNAcentral.
AUGUUCUCUACCAUCCACUUUUAUGUUUUACAGAAGCAAAAGAAGCUCACAGGGUUGGUGCACGAUAUGUGUUAUGUAAUUUCACAUGCAGUUGGGAAGCUCGUGAUUGGGGUUGGGAAGAUAGAUGAUGAUGAAUGGGGGACAAAGGAGGCAGAUCCUAGUACUGCGGAGACAAUCAGGCUGCAGCCUAACAUAAGGGGCAAGCGAGUACCAGCCGGAAGAGACAGCUUACCAAGUGAGGAGGAGUCGUUUAAUUCCAACAGCGACGACAGCGAGGCAGCCGACAGUGAAAGUGAGGGAGAUGGCAGGGAUAAAAGUAGUGAUGAAAGCGACAACGAUGGCAGUUCAGACAGCGAUGAUUGUCAUGAUGGAUCAAGUGGAGUUCAGGGGAAAUCAAGUAGCCAGGGAGCACGACAAACAGUGGAUCACCACGAGGGGGCAAGUGCUGAGAUGGGAGGGAAAGACGGAACUGGGGGGAACGAGGACAAUGAUGAUGAUGAAGAAGAAGAGGAUGACGAAAAAGAAGAUGACGAAGGAAAGGAGGAUGACGACGAUGAAGAAGGCGAUGGGGAUGACAAAGACAAGGAAGAUGAUGGGCAGGGGAAGCAGGAUGAAGAUGAUGAAGAUGACAGCGGAGGUGGCAACGGUGGUUCAGGCAGCAAUGGUGGCUCCGAUCGGGAUGAGGAUCCCGUAGCUGAAAAUGCAAGCAGCGAUGAUGAUGAACAAUGGAUGCUACAAUUUUUGAUUGAAAAGAAGAGGGACAGAAAGGCAAAAGGAUUGGAUGAGGCGGAUAGGAUAUCUAUCAGAGACCUUGUGAUGACGGAAUUCAAAACUGCUGUUUCCCCAAAACCACGCUUCCCUGUUUUUGAAGUGAAAGAAAUGUUGGAUAUUGAUGACAUGUCCAUGGCAACCGAAGCGAGGAGGAUGUUCAAAGAGUUGUUGAGGGGGGACACUUGGAUAUGGUCUUCACAUUCAACCCCAAGGAAAUAUGCCCAAAGGCGACUCGGCAGAAAAUAA